GUAAUACAGUGAGAAUCAAAAGUAGUCUAUAAAUGUUAAUGGAAUUAACGCUUUGUUUGAAAACAUAAUUCCCAGCCCCUCUCCUGCUUUGUGACCAAUGAGCUGACAGCACACUUAUGACAAUUCGAGUAUGACCAUUCAGAUUACCGCUUAUCUCAUUGGUCGAGGAAAGGUCGCUUACGGAGAAAAUACCGGAAGACAACAGAUGACCACAACAAGAAGCAUGGCCAACAGGGAAACAAACGCACACACUGCGGUGCAAGUCUCGGACGACAGUACAUCUAAAGCUGGGCAUACACUGUGCGAUUUUUUCAGUCGCGUUAUUCAGCUUCUACUCAAACUGCACGAUUGACUCGCAGGGGUUAUAAGUUCGUAGGUCACGAUGCAGGGUCUCACACUAUACCGCCCGAUGCUCUGAUGCGACCUGAGUGCUCACACUGUGCAUCCAUAAAAUGAAGGUUAUAACAGAAAAUCUGUCGCUCGCUCUCCCUCUCUGUCUUUCACUCACACAGACACGCACACCACCACCAUCAACUUUGCUAAAUUGCUAAUGAAAAACAUUGAUCAGGCAGCUGUGAUUAAGCAGCAAUGUAAAUCCAACUAUUUUCACGGUUGUUGUGGUCCUGAUAAUUUUGUGAGGCCACAUCGAAAAGGCUCGGAUGAGCUUUCCAAAGUUCUACAAGUUGUGCCUCCAUCACUUGUGUCCAGAUCACACGCUGCACAGCCGUGCUGCUCCGUCUUUUUCACCGACGUUUACGUGUUUGCGCGUGGGCAGUGUGAGCGGCUGCGGUGACACCCUCACGAGCGAUUGAUGAUCGGGAGCUGGUCGUGAGGUGUUAAUCACUUGUCGUUACCCCACGUAUACUACACGAUGCAUGACGCACGAUGAAGGCCAAAAUUGGGCCGAUCACCAAAUCGGUCGCACGACUCAAAAAUCGGCUCAAAAUGGGCCAAAAAUCGCACAGUGUAAGCCCAGCAUUAGACCAGCAAUGUUUGUUCCCCUCAGAGAAAGGAAAAAAGGCUGCAAAAGUACAGGGAGGAAUGGGAAAAAGAAAACACCUGGCUGGAAAAAGUGCACGAUAACACCUAUAAAGCGCACUGCACUGUGUGCCGGCGCACUUUUUCCAUAGGCAUGCUUCUAAUGGUGGGCACAUGAAGAACAUGAGGGGCGUGAAAGCUCGAGGAACCCUUAACCAAUUUGUUGUCCACCAGGCCACGGCAGAAGCAGAUAUGCUGCUGGAUUAGCUGCUGGAUUAGCUCUUCGAUUAACAACUUGCUGGAGGCUAUUCAAAUUAGCCACACCGUGGGAUGUAAGGAGCUCUCUGAUUGGUUGGUCAGACACAGGCUGUCUGCCAGCCUGGAUUUUUCUAGCUCAUAGCUUCGCCCUGCUACGAAGCGUGUGUGCUUGUACAAAGGCCGUUCAGCCUCAGGAUUUACACUCGGCUCGACACGGAUAUGUGAAGAAUGAAGGGACCCUGCAGCGAAACGGAGAGCCAACCUCUGACUGAGUGCCUGUCUACACAGUCUGACCACCUGUUGAAGGGCUGUUUGAUGACGAUUUGGGAGAUGAGGACACACCCACAUCUGUUCCAUACUGCAGCCAUGGAUGGUGUUACGGCUCUGAGUCAGCUUUGGGCCAUCAGACGCACACACUGGAAAACCAGCACCUGGACUUCAUGCAGGAGAGACGGCCUCAGUGAUGCAGAAUUCAUCAGCAGCUGUGGAGAGAUGCAUUUGAAUAUCUUCUGGUUCCACUUUUCCUUACCUGGAAGCUGAGGAUGGCUGAUUUCUGACAAGGACACACAACUCAGCGCUUAUCAUGGGUGUUACAUCCUCUGUGCAGCAAUUCCAGAGAAAACGAGAAAGCAACGACCACUCAUAAAGACCAGCCAGAAAUCUGUCCCUUUCUGGCAGCUGUGGAAACUUUGCAUUCUUAGAACAAUGCUGGAUCAUGUGUGAUGUGUCAUAUGAGGAUAUUACAUUUUGCCUUAAUUCUGCUCAAUUAAGUGUUUUGAUCGUUGAUCCAAUAUGGCAGCUUUGUGUUGUGCUGCAAGUUAAAACUCAUUGUCUAACAACUCUCCUUAAAAAUGUCGAUUGACUUUAACUGGACACAAUGGUUUCCAGUGGGAGAUACAUUCAUCACUCAUCCGUGACACUGGAGAAGUCACCUGGAUGAGUGAUAAAAAAAUUUUCCAUGGAAAAUCCAGAGGAACUAAACUUUGUUGUUGUUUCUUUGGGCUCAGUUUUGCCUGAGGCUGAAAGUGUGUGUGUGUGUUUUCUCCAAUUCACCAGGUCUGUAAAGUUCAGUAUGACUGUGGUACAUGAU
Molecule: long non-coding RNA, 2326 nt
Organism: Pelmatolapia mariae (spotted tilapia)
Lineage: Eukaryota; Metazoa; Chordata; Actinopteri; Cichliformes; Cichlidae
Exons: 4
Source: RefSeq, a predicted model, not a curated record